CCUACGGGUGGCAGCAGUAGGGAAUAUUGCUCAAUGGGGGAAACCCUGAUGCAGCAACGCCGCGUGGAGGAUGAAGGUUUUCGGAUUGUAAAGUCCUGUUGUUAGAGAAGAUAAUGACGGUAUCUAACGAAUAAGCACCGGCUAACUACGUGCCAGCAGCCGCGGUAAUACGUAGGGAGCAAGCGUUACCCGGAUUCACUGGGUGUAAAGAGCGCGUAGGCGGGAUAGCAAGUCUGAUGUGAAAUCCUAGGGCUUAACCAUAGAACUGCAUUGGAAACUGUUAUUCUAGAGUAUGGGAGAGGUAAGUGGAAUUCUUGGUGUAGCGGUGAAAUCCGUAGAGAUUAAGAGGAAUACUCGUGGCGAAGGCGACCUGCUGGAACAUAACUGACGCUGAUGCGCGAAAGCGUGGGGAGCAAACAGGAUUAGAUACCCUUGUAGUC
This 440-nucleotide ribosomal RNA is filed under the name uncultured bacterium. Its description in RNAcentral is "partial 16S ribosomal RNA". It matches the Rfam family "Bacterial small subunit ribosomal RNA", at positions 338 to 795 of the family's 1533-position model. The record is from RNAcentral.